RNAcentral lists this ribosomal RNA (497 nucleotides) under uncultured bacterium. Its description in RNAcentral is "partial 16S ribosomal RNA". It matches the Rfam family "Bacterial small subunit ribosomal RNA", at positions 28 to 507 of the family's 1533-position model. The record is from RNAcentral.
GAUGAACGCUGGCGGCGUGCCUAAUACAUGCAAGUCGAGCGAACAGACGAGGAGCUUGCUCCUUCGACGUUAGCGGCGGACGGGUGAGUAACACGUAGGUAACCUACCUAUAAGACUGGGAUAACUUCGGGAAACCGGAGCUAAUACCGGAUAAUAUUUCGAACCGCAUGGUUCGAUAGUGAAAGAUGGCUUUGCUAUCACUUAUAGAUGGACCUGCGCCGUAUUAGCUAGUUGGUAAGGUAACGGCUUACCAAGGCAACGAUACGUAGCCGACCUGAGAGGGUGAUCGGCCACACUGGAACUGAGACACGGUCCAGACUCCUACGGGAGGCAGCAGUAGGGAAUCUUCCGCAAUGGGCGAAAGCCUGACGGAGCGACGCCGCGUGAGUGAUGAGGGUCUUCGGAUCGUAAAACUCUGUUAUUAGGGAAGAACAAACGUGUAAGUAACUGUGCACGUCUUGACAGUACCUAAUCAGAAAGCCACGGCUAACUACGUG